This 486-nucleotide ribosomal RNA is filed under the name uncultured bacterium. Its description in RNAcentral is "partial 16S ribosomal RNA". It matches the Rfam family "Bacterial small subunit ribosomal RNA", at positions 28 to 507 of the family's 1533-position model. The record is from RNAcentral.
GACGAACGCUGGCGGCGUGCUUAACACAUGCAAGUCGAACGCUGAAGACCUGGCUUUUGUUGGGUUGGAUGAGUGGCGAACGGGUGAGUAACACGUGAGUAACCUGCCCUCUUCUUUGGGAUAACGCCCGGAAACGGGUGCUAAUACUGGAUAUUCACUGAUCUUCGCAUGGGGGUUGGUGGAAAGGUUUGUUCUGGUGGGGGAUGGGCUCGCGGCCUAUCAGCUUGUUGGUGGGGUGAUGGCCUACCAAGGCUUUGACGGGUAGCCGGCCUGAGAGGGUGACCGGUCACAUUGGGACUGAGAUACGGCCCAGACUCCUACGGGAGGCAGCAGUGGGGAAUAUUGCACAAUGGGCGAAAGCCUGAUGCAGCGACGCCGCGUGAGGGAUGGAGGCCUUCGGGGUGUAAACCUCUUUCGCUCAUGGUCAAGCCGCAACGGGGGGUUGUGGUGAGGGUAGUGGGUAAAGAAGCGCCGGCUAACUACGUG